This 252-nucleotide non-coding RNA is filed under the name Lachnobacterium bovis. RNAcentral describes it as "T-box sequence". It matches the Rfam family "T-box leader". From Rfam's summary of the family: Uncharged tRNA acts as the effector for transcription antitermination of genes in the T-box leader family. T-boxes are found upstream of many aminoacyl-tRNA synthetase genes and some amino acid biosynthetic genes usually in Gram-positive bacteria. The anticodon of a specific tRNA base pairs to a specifier sequence within the T-box motif, and the NCCA acceptor tail of the tRNA base pairs to a conserved bulge in the T-box antiterminator hairpin. Lineage: Bacteria; Bacillati; Bacillota; Clostridia; Lachnospirales; Lachnospiraceae. The record is from RNAcentral.
AAUAAACUAGUGACCGAGAGUAGUACAUGUAUCAAGUUUGAUUUACAGAGAGCUACAGAUAGUGAGAUUGUAGUAAUGAAAGGAACAUGGAAUGGACUUGGGAAGGUGGGAGCAAAGAGCAGUGGCUCGAGUAAUGCCCAACGGGAUUUCCGCUCGUUAUCAAGGGAAGAUGUAUGUUAGUACAUUAUGUGAGUGGGUGCAUUUUGCAUCAAUUUAGGUGGUACCGCAGGAGUAUAGACUCUUGUCCUAAGA